Molecule: ribosomal RNA, 774 nt
Filed under: uncultured Neocallimastigales
Lineage: Eukaryota; Fungi; Neocallimastigomycota; Neocallimastigomycetes; Neocallimastigales
Description: partial large subunit ribosomal RNA
Rfam family: Eukaryotic large subunit ribosomal RNA
Source: RNAcentral
GUGUGUAUCAGUACAUGGCAUAUCAAUAAGCGGAGGAAAAGAAACUAACAAGGAUUCCCUUAGUAACGGCGAGUGAAGCGGGAAGAGCUCAAAUUUGAAAUCUUCAAGGGUUUACCUUUACGAAUUGUAGUUUAAAGAAGUGUUUUCUGUUGGAGUUUCGGUAAAAGUUCUUUGGAAUAGGACAUCAUAGAGGGUGAGAAUCCCGUAUUUGACCAUCAUUUUCAGCUGUGUGAUACACUUUCAAAGAGUCGGAUUGUUUGGGAAUGCAGUCCAAAAUGGGUGGUAAAUUUCAUCUAAAGCUAAAUAUUGGCGAGAGACCGAUAGCGAACAAGUACCGUGAGGGAAAGAUGAAAAGAACUUGAAAAGAGAGUUAAACAGUACGUGAAAUUGUCAGAAGGGAAGCGUUUGACACCAGUGUUGUUUUCUCGAAAAUCAAUUAAAAAAGGCCGGAUUUUGUGUUGUAUUGACCUUAAAAGCUUUCUUCACUCUUUUCUUGUCUUUUUUAAUGCACUUUUCGUUUAACAAGUCAACAUCAGUUUCUUUUGUUGUAAAAGGGUCAUUGGAAGGUGGCUUUCUUUUCGGAGAAAGUGUUUAUAGCCUUUGAUCUCUGCAACCGGAGAGACUGAGGUCUGCAGCGUAGACUCUUCGGGGUUAGAUACAUUUGUGCUAAGCUAUAGCUUUUUAUAGACAACUUGUUGACUAUAUUUAGUCUUGUGGCUUACUCGCUUAUGCUAUUUUACCUACGCUUAGGAUGUUGAUAGUCACAGCGUGUAC